GAUGAACGCUGGCGGCAUGCUUUACACAUGCAAGUCGGACGGGAAGUGGUGUUUCCAGUGGCGGGCGGGUGAGUAACGCGUAAGAACCUGCCCUUGGGAGGGGAACAACAGCUGGAAACGGCUGCUAAUACCCCGUAGGCUGAGGAGCGAAAGGAGGAAUUCGCCCAAGGAGGGGCUCGCGUCUGAUUAGCUAGUUGGUGAGGUAAUAGCUUACCAAGGCCGUGAUCAGUAGCUGGUCCGAGAGGAUGAUCAGCCACACUGGGACUGAGACAAGGCCCAGACUCCUACGGGAGGCAGCAGUGGGGAAUUUUCCGCAAUGGGCGAAAGCCUGACGGAGCAAUGCCGCGUGGAGGUAAAAGGCCUACGGGUCAUGAACUUCUUUUCCUGGAGAAGAAACAAUGACGGUAUCUGGGGAAUAAGCAUCGGCUAACUCUGUG
Molecule: ribosomal RNA, 437 nt
Filed under: uncultured bacterium
Lineage: Bacteria
Description: partial 16S ribosomal RNA
Rfam family: Bacterial small subunit ribosomal RNA
Source: RNAcentral